RNAcentral lists this ribosomal RNA (506 nucleotides) under uncultured bacterium. Its description in RNAcentral is "partial 16S ribosomal RNA". It matches the Rfam family "Bacterial small subunit ribosomal RNA", at positions 30 to 523 of the family's 1533-position model. The record is from RNAcentral.
AUUGAACGCUGGCGGCAGGCCUAACACAUGCAAGUCGAACGGUAGCACAGAGGAGCUUGCUCCUUGGGUGACGAGUGGCGGACGGGUGAGUAAUGUCUGGGAAACUGCCCGAUGGAGGGGGAUAACUACUGGAAACGGUAGCUAAUACCGCAUAACGUCUUCGGACCAAAGUGGGGGACCUUCGGGCCUAACACCAUCGGAUGUGCCCAUAAGGGAUUAGCUAGUAGGUGGGGUAAUGGCUCACCUAGGCGACGAUCCCUAGCUGGUCUGAGAGGAUGACCAGCCACACUGGAACUGAGACACGGUCCAGACUCCUACGGGAGGCAGCAGUGGGGAAUAUUGCACAAUGGGCGCAAGCCUGAUGCAGCCAUGCCGCGUGUAUGAAGAAGGCCUUCGGGUUGUAAAGUACUUUCAGCGGGGAGGAAGGCGUUAAGGUUAAUAACCUUGGCGAUUGACGUUACCCGCAGAAGAAGCACCGGCUAACUCCGUGCCAGCCGCCGCAGUAA